UACAGAGGGUGCGAGCGUUAAUCGGAAUUACUGGGCGUAAAGCGUGCGUAGACGGUUUUGUAAGUCGGAUGUGAAAUCCCCGGGCUCAACCUGGGAAUUGCAUUCGAGACUGCAAGGCUUGGGUGCGGAAGAGGGAAGCGGAAUUUCCGGUGUAGCGGUGAAAUGCGUAGAUAUCGGAAGGAACAUCAGUGGCGAACGCGGCUUCCUGGUCCAGCACCGACGUUCAGGCACGAAAGCGUGGGGAGCAAACAGG
Molecule: ribosomal RNA, 253 nt
Filed under: uncultured bacterium
Lineage: Bacteria
Description: partial 16S ribosomal RNA
Rfam family: Bacterial small subunit ribosomal RNA
Source: RNAcentral